This 445-nucleotide ribosomal RNA is filed under the name Demospongiae sp. GW3128. Its description in RNAcentral is "partial 28S large subunit ribosomal RNA". The record is from RNAcentral. Lineage: Eukaryota; Metazoa; Porifera; Demospongiae.
GCUCAGGGUGUCGAGGUUGUCGUGCUCCGCUGAUGUUCAGCUGGCGGCGGUCGGGGUUACUGUGCCRGUGUCGGUGCAUUCUUCAUGGAGUUGGACCGUCAGUUGGGAAGAGGUUGGGUCCUGUUCUGUCGGCAGUCGGGAGGUAAGCCUUGCGGUUCCUCCGUGUUCCCAGGGUGASRUAUAGCCGCUCUGCUGUGGUCCCGGCCGUCUUUCAUGUGCGUCGGACGUCCGUUCGUCCGGAAUGGGAAGGUGCAAUCUCCCCUCGGGGGGGAGUUCGGGCGGGUGGUGGACUGGCUUCGAUGGGASGAGUCGAGCUCCGUCCCUUCUCCGUCCCGUSUUYGGCGCGCGGGAAGGAGUACGGCACGGCCGCCACGUGUCGUUGCCUCUCCCUGUCCUGUUCCAACUGCUGUGCCGAGAUGACUGGCGAAUAGUGGGGGGGGGGUGC